This 460-nucleotide ribosomal RNA is filed under the name uncultured bacterium. RNAcentral's name for it is "partial 16S ribosomal RNA". It matches the Rfam family "Bacterial small subunit ribosomal RNA", at positions 338 to 795 of the family's 1533-position model. The record is from RNAcentral.
CCUACGGGAUGCAGCAGUGAGGAAUAUUGGUCAAUGGACGAGAGUCUGAACCAGCCAAGUAGCGUGAAGGAUGACUGCCCUAUGGGUUGUAAACUUCUUUUAUAUGGGAAUAAAAUGUUCCACGUGUGGGCUUUUGUAUGUACCAUAUGAAUAAGGAUCGGCUAACUCCGUGCCAGCAGCCGCGGUAAUACGGAGGAUCCGAGCGUUAUCCGGAUUUAUUGGGUUUAAAGGGAGCGUAGGUGGAUUGUUAAGUCAGUUGUGAAAGUUUGCGGCUCAACCGUAAAAUUGCAGUUGAAACUGGCAGUCUUGAGUACAGUAGAGGUGGGCGGAAUUCGUGGUGUAGCGGUGAAAUGCUUAGAUAUCACGAAGAACUCCGAUUGCGAAGGCAGCUCACUGGACUGCAACUGACACUGAGGCUCGAAAGUGUGGGUAUCAAACAGGAUUAGAGACCCCUGUAGUC